AUAGCCUAACGGCUGAACCAGCAACUUGGAGGAAUGUAUAGUAAAGCUAAAUGUAUUUUUUUAUAAUAAUACAUAUUCGAUUUAUUCGUAUAAAGUUCUAGAUAGAAUUAUGAUAAUGACAUUGUCUAUCUAUAAGUCUUGGCCAAAUUACGUGCCAGCAGCCGCGGUAAGACGUAAAAGACUAGUGUUAUUCAUCUUUAAUAGGUUUAAAGCGUACCUAGACGGUAAAUCAAGCCUUAAGGGGACUAAUUUAACUAGAGUUAGAUGUAAGGGUGCAUAAACGUACUGUUGAGUGUAGAGAUGAAAUUCUUUUAUACCAGAUUAUUGGCACGGGUUAAGGCGAAAGCAUCACCUUAUGUAAUAACUGACGUUGAGGGACGAAGGCUUUGUGUCGCUAACAGGAUUAGAUACCCUAGUAGUCUAAGCAGAAAAUGAUGAGUGUCAUAGGUUAAAUAUUAUUUGGUCUAUAAAUGAAAGUGUAAGCACUCCACCUCAAGAGUAAUUUGGCAACAUUGGAAUUGAAAUCAUUAGACCGUUUCUGAAACCAGUAGUGAAGUAUGUUGUUUAAUUAGAUAAUACACAAAGAACCUUACCACAAUUUGAAUAUUUUACAAGUGUUGCACGGCUGUCUUCAGUUAAUGUCGUGAGAUUAUGGUUAGUUCCAUUAAAUUAACGUAAACCCUUACUUUAUUUUAUAUAAUAUAAAGUUGUUCGCCGCUAGAUUGGUUAGAUAAAAGGACUAAGA
This 745-nucleotide ribosomal RNA is filed under the name Scytinium subtile. RNAcentral describes it as "SSU rRNA". It matches the Rfam family "Bacterial small subunit ribosomal RNA", at positions 371 to 1173 of the family's 1533-position model. The record is from RNAcentral. Lineage: Eukaryota; Fungi; Ascomycota; Lecanoromycetes; Peltigerales; Collemataceae.